UACGGAGGGUGCAAGAGUAACUCGGAAUCACUGGGCGUAAAGGGCGCGUAGGCGGCCUAGCAAGUCUGGUGUGAAAGACCAGGGCUCAACCCUGGAAGGGCACUGGAAACUGUUAGGCUUGAGUUCCGGAGAGGAGGGGGGAAUUCCCGGUGUAGCGGUGGAAUGCGUAGAUAUCGGGAGGAAUACCGGUGGCGAAGGCGCCCCUCUGGACGGAAUCUGACGCUGUGGCGCGAAAGCGUGGGGAGCAAACAUG
Molecule: ribosomal RNA, 253 nt
Filed under: uncultured bacterium
Lineage: Bacteria
Description: partial 16S ribosomal RNA
Rfam family: Bacterial small subunit ribosomal RNA
Source: RNAcentral